GGAGCGGUAGUUCAGUUGGUUAGAAUACCUGCCUGUCACUCAGGGGGUCGCGGGUUCGAGUCCCGUCCGUUCCGCCA
Molecule: transfer RNA, 77 nt
Filed under: Salmonella enterica
Lineage: Bacteria; Pseudomonadati; Pseudomonadota; Gammaproteobacteria; Enterobacterales; Enterobacteriaceae
Also listed under: 2 other names
Description: tRNA-Asp
Rfam family: tRNA
About the family: Transfer RNA (tRNA) molecules are approximately 80 nucleotides in length. Their secondary structure includes four short double-helical elements and three loops (D, anti-codon, and T loops).
Source: RNAcentral